RNAcentral lists this ribosomal RNA (886 nucleotides) under uncultured archaeon. RNAcentral's name for it is "bacterial SSU rRNA". It matches the Rfam family "Archaeal small subunit ribosomal RNA", at positions 1 to 865 of the family's 1478-position model. The record is from RNAcentral.
UCCGGUUGAUCCUGCCGGACCCCACUGCUAUCGGGAUAGGACUAAGACAUGCUAGUUGAGCGCUUCCAGCCAACACGGGAGCGCAGCGCACAGCUCAGUAACACGUGGCUAAUCUGCCCUUGGGACCGGAACACCCCCGGGAAACUGGGGCUAAUUCUCGAUAGGUGAAGAACUCUGGAAUGAGUCUUUGCCAAAAAGACGCUUACGUUAUGCUCGUAGGCGUCGCCCAAGGAUGAGGCCGCGACCGAUCAGGUUGUUGGCGAGGUAAUGGCUCACCAAGCCUUUUACCGGUGCGGGCCGUGAGAGCGGGAGCCCGGAGAUGGGCACUGAGACAAGGGCCCAGGCCCUACGGGGCGCAGCAGUCGCGAAAACUUUGCAAUACACGAAAGUGUGACAGGGCUAUCCCGAGUGCCAUCCGCUGAGGAAGGCUUUUACCCAGUUUAGAACGCUGGGGGAAUAAGGAGAGGGCAAGUCUGGUGUCAGCCGCCGCGGUAAUACCAGCUCUCCGAGUGGUAUGGAUGUUUAUUGGGCCUAAAGUAUCCGUAGCUGGCUAAGUUAGUCCCUUGUUAAAUCCACCGAAUUAAUCGUUGGAUUGCGGGGGAUACUGCUUGGCUAGGGGACGAGAGAGGCAGACGGUAUUCCCGGGGUAGGGGUGAAAUCCUAUAAUCCCGAGAAGACCACCAGUGGCGAAGGCUGUCUGCUAGAACGCGCCCGACGGUGAGGGAUGAAAGCUGGGGGAGCGAACCGGAUUAGAUACCCGGGUAGUCCCAGCUGUAAACGAUGCAGGCUAGGUGUUUGGACGGCCACGUGCCGUUCUAGUGCCGCAGGGAAGCUGUUAAGCCUGCCGCCUGGGGAGUACGAUCGCAAGAUUGAAACUUAAAGGAAU